GGGGAAUAUUGCACAAUGGGGGAAACCCUGAUGCAGCGACGCCGCGUGGAGGAAGAAGGUCUUCGGAUUGUAAACUCCUGUUGUUGAGGAAGAUAAUGACGGUACUCAACAAGGAAGUGACGGCUAACUACGUGCCAGCAGCCGCGGUAAAACGUAGGUCACAAGCGUUGUCCGGAAUUACUGGGUGUAAAGGGAGCGCAGGCGGGAAGACAAGUUGGAAGUGAAAUCUAUGGGCUCAACCCAUAAACUGCUUUCAAAACUGUUUUUCUUGAGUAGUGCAGAGGUAGGCGGAAUUCCCGGUGUAGCGGUGGAAUGCGUAGAUAUCGGGAGGAACACCAGUGGCGAAGGCGGCCUACUGGGCACCAACUGACGCUGAGGCUCGAAAGUGUGGGUAGCAAACAGGAUUAGAUACCCUGGUAGUCCACACCGUAAACGAUGAUUACUAGGUGUUGGAGGAUUGACCCCUUCAGUGCCGCAGUUAACACAAUAAGUAAUCCACCUGGGGAGUACGACCGCAAGGUUGAAACUCAAAGGAAUUGACGGGGGCCUGCACAAGCAGUGGAGUAUGUGGUUUAAUUCGACGCAACGCGAAGAACCUUACCAAGUCUUGACAUCCUGCGACGAUGCUGGAAACAGUAUUUUCCUUCGGGACGCAGAGACAGGUGGUGCAUGGUUGUCGUCAGCUCGUGUCGUGAGAUGUUGGGUUAAGUCCCGCAACGAGCGCAACCCUUACUGUCAGUUACUACGCAAGAGGGCUCUGGCAGGACUGCCGUUGACAAAACGGAGGAAGGUGGGGAUGACGUCAAAUCAUCAUGCCCUUUAUGACUUGGGCUACACACGUACUACAAUGGCGUUAAACAAAGAGAAGCAAGACCGCGAGGUGGAGCAAAACUCAGAAACAACGUCCCAGUUCGGACUGCAGGCUGCAACUCGCCUGCACGAAGUCGGAAUUGCUAGUAAUCGUGGAUCAGCAUGCCACGGUGAAUACGUUCCCG
Molecule: ribosomal RNA, 995 nt
Filed under: uncultured bacterium
Lineage: Bacteria
Description: bacterial SSU rRNA
Rfam family: Bacterial small subunit ribosomal RNA
Source: RNAcentral